AUCCUAGCUGUAAACGAUGCUCACUAGAUGUGGGAGGUAUCGACCCCUUCCGCGUCGCAGCUAACGCGUUAAGUGAGCCGCCUGGGGAGUACGGCCGCAAGGUUAAAACUCAAAGGAAUUGACGGGGCCCCGCACAAGCAGCGGAGCAUGCGGCUUAAUUCGACGCAACGCGAAGAACCUUACCAAGGCUUGACAUAUACAGGAAUACGGCAGAGAUGUCGUAGCCGCAAGGUCUGUAUACAGGUGGUGCAUGGUUGUCGU
RNAcentral lists this ribosomal RNA (261 nucleotides) under uncultured bacterium. RNAcentral describes it as "partial 16S ribosomal RNA". It matches the Rfam family "Bacterial small subunit ribosomal RNA", at positions 793 to 1055 of the family's 1533-position model. The record is from RNAcentral.